GUCUUCUCACUUCUUUCUCCUCUUCUAUUCGUCUCAUAUUCAGAUUCACCCGCGAUCUCUCUCUAUUCUUCUCCAUUUUUUCCCCUUCCCUCUUCGAUCCAAAACGAAAACCUAGAUUUCUAGGGUUUUACCCUCCUCGAUCGCAAAAAUGCCUCUCAGACUUGAAAUUAAGAGGAAACUUGCUCAAAGGUCGGAGAGAGUGAAGUCGGUAGAUCUACAUCCAACAGAGCCAUGGAUUUUAGCGAGUCUUUACUCUGGGAGUGUUUGCAUCUGGGAUUACCAAACACAGACUAUGGCAAAGUCAUUUGAGGUCACUGAACUGCCAGUACGCUCAGCAAAAUUUAUUGCACGCAAACAGUGGGUUGUCGCUGGAGCAGAUGAUAUGUUCAUUCGUGUUUACAAUUAUAAUACAAUGGAUAAAGUGAAAGUUUUUGAGGCACACACAGAUUACAUCAGGUGUGUAGCUGUCCACCCAACCCUUCCAUAUGUGUUGUCGUCAUCUGAUGACAUGUUGAUAAAGCUCUGGGAUUGGGAGAAAGGUUGGAUGUGUACUCAGAUUUUUGAAGGACACACACACUAUGUGAUGCAAGUGACCUUCAACCCAAAAGACACUAAUACUUUUGCAAGUGCUUCUCUGGAUCGCACAAUAAAGAUCUGGAAUCUUGGUUCUCCCGAUCCGAACUUCACCUUAGAUGCACAUUUUAAGGGAGUGAAUUGUGUAGAUUACUUUACAGGUGGUGAUAGGCCAUAUUUAAUCACUGGUUCUGAUGAUCAUACUGCCAAGGUCUGGGAUUACCAAACGAAGAGCUGUGUUCAAACUCUUGAGGGCCAUACGCACAAUGUUUCGACUGUCUGUUUCCAUCCUGAGCUUCCUAUAAUCAUUACAGGCUCAGAGGAUGGAACUGUUCGAAUAUGGCAUGCAACAACAUAUAGGCUUGAGAACACGCUAAAUUACGGUCUUGAACGAGUUUGGGCUGUGGGAUACUCGAGAGGUUCAAGGAGAGUGGUAAUUGGAUAUGAUGAAGGAACCAUAAUGAUAAAACUUGGUCGUGAAGUUCCAGUAGCUAGUAUGGACAGCAGUGGUAAGAUCAUAUGGGCAAAACAUAACGAAAUUCAAACUGUCAAUAUUAAGACAGUCGGAGCAGACUAUGAGGUUACAGAUGGAGAAAGAUUGCCUUUGGCUGUGAAGGAGCUGGGGAGCUGUGACCUCUAUCCACAAAGCUUAAAGCAUAACCGUAAUGGUAGAUUUGUGGUUGUUUGUGGAGAUGGUGAAUACAUUAUUUACACAGCGCUGGCAUGGAGAAACAGAUCUUUUGGCUCCGCUCUCGAGGUUGUGUGGUCAUCUGAGGGUGAAUAUGCGGUCAGAGAAAGCACAUCAAGAAUAAAAAUUUUCAGCAAAAACUUUCAGGAGAAGAGAAGUAUAAGACCCACCUUUUCUGCUGAGCGUAUCUUUGGAGGAGCUUUACUUGCAAUGUGCUCGAAUGACUUCAUUUGCUUUUAUGACUGGGCUGAAUGCAGAUUGAUACGGCGCAUUGAUGUUAAUGUGAAAAAUCUCUAUUGGGCUGAUAGUGGUGACCUACUUACUAUUGCAAGUGACUCAUCAUUCUACAUUUUAAAGUAUAACGGUGACAUUGUUUCUUCUUAUCUAGAAAGUGGAAACUCAGGUGAUGAACAAGGUGUUGAGGAUGCUUUUGAAAUGCUUCAUGAAAUAAAUGAGCGUGUGCGAACUGGAAUCUGGGUUGGGGACUGUUUCAUUUACAAUAACGCUUCCGGGAGACUGAAUUAUUGUGUCGGUGGAGAGGUUACCACCAUGUUCCACCUGGACCGGCCAAUGUACUUGUUGGGAUAUCUUGCUAGUCAGAGCAGGGUGUAUCUCAUUGACAAGGAGUUCAAUGUUAUGGGUUACACUUUACUACUUAGUUUGAUUGAGUAUAAAACUCUAGUGAUGCGUGGGGAUCUGGAUCGUGCAAGUGAUGUUUUACAGUCAAUUCCUAAGGAGCAUCACAACAGUGUGGCCCGUUUCUUAGAAUCUCGAGGCAUGCCCGAUGAUGCUUUGAAAGUGGCGACGGAUCCUAAUUACAAAUUUGAUCUUGCUGUACAGCUUGAGCGAUUGGAUAUAGCUAAGGAGAUAGCUGUGGAGGUCCAAAGCGAAUCAAAAUGGAAGCAGCUAGGGAAGCUUGCAAUGUCCACAGGAAAGUUAGAUAUGGCUGAGGAAUGCUUAUCACAAGCAAUGGAUCUGAGUGGUUUGUUACUUAUUUAUUCUGCUCUCGGUGAUGCCGAAGGAAUUGCUAAACUUGCAUCUCUUGCUAAAGAACAAGGGAAGAACAAUGUGGCUUUCCUUUGUUUAUUUUUGUUAGGAAAAUUGGAGGACUGCCUUCAAUUGUUGGUUGAUAGCAACCGUAUUCCAGAAGCUGCCUUGAUGGCGCGUUCUUAUCUUCCAAGCAAAGUCUCAGAGAUCGUUGCAAUUUGGAAGAAAGAUCUCAUUAAGGUCAAUCCAAAGGCUGCAGAGUCCUUGGCUGAUCCUGAAGAAUACUCAAACUUAUUUGAGGACUGGCAGGUUGCUCUUGCUGUAGAGUCUAAUACCACCCAAAACAGAGGUAGCUAUCUGCCUGCUGAGGAAUACCCGAUACACGCUGAAAAGUUAAAUGUGAAUCUUGUGGAAGCAUUCAAAAAUAUGCAAGUGGAUGAAGCAGGCUUCCCUCUUGAAAAUGGAGAUUUGGGUCAUGAGGCAUGCUUUCAGGUGUCAGAUGAAAUAGGAGAAGAGGAUGGCCAAGAAGCUGUUGAAGUGGUCGCUAAUGAGUCUACAGACGGUGACGUCCUUGUCAACGGAAAUAAUGGUGACGAAGAGUAUGGUACGAAUACUGAAGGAAAUCCCUCAGCCUAAGGCAUUUGGUUGGCCAACUGUAAAAAUCCAAGUUUUUUUCUCGGUCCUUACUCCCCGAGGUUAGGGACCUUAUGUGUUCACUAUCAGUGUUAGAGGCAGACAUAUUUCUGAAGGUUUUGCUAAAUUGACACACACUAGGAGGCGAUUGUUCUCAGUCAGUGUUUAGUGUCUCACUGUUGAUUCUGUGUAUUUCUCAAAGCUGCUGCUUCAUGUACCGUUGAAAUGCUAGAGAAAGUGUAUGAUUGAAAUACUAGCGAAAUAGGGAGGUAGAAAAGGUUGUGCUUAAAGCAUAACUGCAUUCUUUUAUUUUUAUCACAUUCUUUUCUUUUGUAACUCUCACUUUCCCUUGCCUUCGCCAUAAGUAUAAGUUUGAAGAGAUUGUAUGUAAUUGAGUGUCAAAGUACCGGGUUUGAGCUGCCUAUUAACAAUAAGAUGGCCUCCUCUUGAGCUGCAGGCAAGGUGUCUUUUGUCUUUGUAGUAGGGAUAAAUAGUAGCAUACAUGCUUUACUUCCAAUAUUAUGAGGUUGUGAAUGAAUGUCUCACAAUGUUUCAUGCUUCAUCGUCAGUUAGUCUCUACCUUGUGAUUCUCUGAUUGCUAGAUGAAGUAUGUUUAUGAUUGUAAAGUUUA
This is an RNA transcript of Asparagus officinalis (garden asparagus), 3512 nucleotides long. It is a transcript of the gene named coatomer subunit beta'-1-like, with no coding region annotated. The transcript has 26 exons. The record is from RefSeq and is a predicted model, not a curated record. NCBI's taxonomy places the organism in Eukaryota, Viridiplantae, Streptophyta, Magnoliopsida, Asparagales, Asparagaceae.